AAAUUGAAGAGUUUGAUCAUGGCUCAGAUUGAACGCUGGCGGCAGGCCUAACACAUGCAAGUCGAACGGUAACAGGAAGCAGCUUGCUGCUUCGCUGACGAGUGGCGGACGGGUGAGUAAUGUCUGGGAAACUGCCUGAUGGAGGGGGAUAACUACUGGAAACGGUGGCUAAUACCGCAUAACGUCGCAAGACCAAAGAGGGGGACCUUCGGGCCUCUUACCAUCAGAUGUGCCCAGAUGGGA
RNAcentral lists this ribosomal RNA (243 nucleotides) under Salmonella enterica. RNAcentral describes it as "partial 16S ribosomal RNA". It matches the Rfam family "Bacterial small subunit ribosomal RNA", at positions 1 to 240 of the family's 1533-position model. The record is from RNAcentral. Lineage: Bacteria; Pseudomonadati; Pseudomonadota; Gammaproteobacteria; Enterobacterales; Enterobacteriaceae.